This 460-nucleotide ribosomal RNA is filed under the name uncultured bacterium. RNAcentral's name for it is "partial 16S ribosomal RNA". It matches the Rfam family "Bacterial small subunit ribosomal RNA", at positions 338 to 795 of the family's 1533-position model. The record is from RNAcentral.
CCUACGGGUGGCAGCAGUGAGGAAUAUUGGUCAAUGGCCGGAAGGCUGAACCAGCCAAGCCGCGUGAAGGACGAAGGUGCCAAGCAUUGUAAACUUCUUUUGUCAAGGGACAAAAUCAGGCGCGAGAGCCUGACCGAGGGUACUUGAAGAAAAAGCAUCGGCUAACUACGUGCCAGCAGCCGCGGUAAUACGUAGGGGGCAAGCGUUAUCCGGAUUUACUGGGGGUAACGGGAGCGUAGACGGUUAUGUAAGUCUGGAGUGAAAGCCCGGGGCCCAACCCCGGGACUGCUUUGGAAACUGUGUAACUGGAGUAUAGGAGGGGCAGGCGGAAUUCCUGGUGUAGCGGUGAAAUGCGUAGAGAUGAGGAGGAAGACCGGCGGCGAAGGCGGCCUGCUGGACUGAAACUGACGUUGAGGCUCGAAAGCGUGGGGAGCAAACAGGAUUAGAUACCCCUGUAGUC